AUGAAGGGUGAAGCAGGUGAAAUAAUUACAUCCUUGCAGCCAGGACAGAAGGGUGACCCAGGAUUUCCAGGUCUUCCAGGGAUACCUGUGCCUCUCAUGGCCUCCUCCCCUUCCUCAACAGGGCCCACCCGGCUCCGUGGGAAUACCAGGUCCAGUUGGCCCCCCAGGGCCCCCAGGUUUGACGGUAAGUUUCUUUAACCUGUUGCUCAUAAAGCCUUAAAUGGGACAGUUACUACUUGGUUUCGUGUUCUCAGAGGCAGGUCAGUGAAUUGCAGAGAU
Molecule: long non-coding RNA, 279 nt
Filed under: Corvus moneduloides (New Caledonian crow)
Lineage: Eukaryota; Metazoa; Chordata; Aves; Passeriformes; Corvidae
Description: lncRNA (ENSCMUG00000019362.1)
Source: RNAcentral